This 253-nucleotide ribosomal RNA is filed under the name uncultured bacterium. RNAcentral's name for it is "partial 16S ribosomal RNA". It matches the Rfam family "Bacterial small subunit ribosomal RNA", at positions 524 to 776 of the family's 1533-position model. The record is from RNAcentral.
UACGAAGGGGGCUAGCGUUGUUCGGAAUUACUGGGCGUAAAGGGCACGUAGGCGGAUUUGUAAGUCAGGGGUGAAAUCCCGGGGCUCAACCUCGGAACUGCCUUUGAUACUGCAAGUCUCGAGUCCGGAAGAGGUGAGUGGAAUUCCUAGUGUAGAGGUGAAAUUCGUAGAGAUUAGGAAGAACACCAGUGGCGAAGGCGGCUCACUGGUCCGGUACUGACGAUGAGGUGCGAAAGAGUGGGGAGCAAACAGG